GACUGACAUUAUAGCAAUUCUGAGAUCGAAUAUUUCUUGAAUCUCUUAUAAAAGAGCUCCUGUGCUGGCUGGGUCAGAAUAUCUGAGCUGAAUUCUCAAAGGGUUACCAAUACAUUCUCUCUGCAAGUCUACAGAAAGGCAAACAUCAUGAAGUCUUUACUGAUCUGCUUUUUCCUUGUGAGUGCAGCUUCUGCCAUGAUAAUGUUCCGCCACCCCUUCCGCCGACCUGGGUCAAGAUGCUUUGAAGAACAAGGGAUGUACUACAGAGGCCGGAUGUACCAAGACGGGCACUAUGUUUACAAAUAUCUCUACGUGUUUCCUCCAGGACAACAUCCAAAAUACCACGGAUUAAACCGUUACCAUCCUGUUGUGUUAGCGGACAAAGAAAUGGCGGAGGAAAACGAAGAAAUUGUGACUCAACAACAGGAAGGUCAAGAAAAUGCUUCCUGAACACAGAAGUGUAAAUAAAAACGUAAAAGAGAUAGGUAUCAAGAUUAAGAACUGUAUGUUAAGACCUGUGCUGUAGUGAAACGGGAUUGUAGCAAUGUAAGCAAAUAUAAAAAGGAAAAAAAUAAAACCAUCUUUAGAGGAAUGCAAGGCAAUACAAUCUGUGAUGUCUCUGCAUUGUUUAAAUAAAUGUAUUUAAUUAUUUUUCGUAUU
Molecule: long non-coding RNA, 660 nt
Filed under: Lepisosteus oculatus (spotted gar)
Lineage: Eukaryota; Metazoa; Chordata; Actinopteri; Semionotiformes; Lepisosteidae
Description: lncRNA (ENSLOCG00000022256.1)
Source: RNAcentral